CAAAUACAGGACAAUGAGGCAACACAUGCCAUGAUGAAUCAAUGGAUAGCUUUACAAAAAACAAAACAAGGGCAGCAAAAACCAAAAGAGAAUACUCCAAAACUCGUAGGCAACAUGGCUUGCUGCUCUAAGAGUGAUGCUGAGUGAUGUGACUGGAGUGGAAAGGGUUGAGCCAAGCACAUGCUAACAGCAGGACAGGGAAUGACAGGAACCAGGACAGAAAUAGAUGGAAACCACUCAACAAGCAAAACAAAGUCUGUGUUUGAAAAGACUGAAGAGUAAAUCAUGCUUUGUCUAAACUGAACACAAAAACUGAGGUCUGUUGUGAGUUUACAAACCGAAGUGGAGGCAUCACAGCAGCUACCACAGAAACGCAAAGCAUUGUACAGUGUUACUCUGAACAAUCAAUCGUAUGCCCCAAAUAGAACCUAGGAGGAAUUUCCAGACAUGUGUACCCACUGACACUGAAUGAUAAAUAGGACAUCUGUACAGUUAAAUUAAAAAAAAAAAAAAAGAAUCUAGAGAUUAGUUCAGGAAUAAAAAGCAAAAUCCCAGCCCUGAUGGCCCUACCACUAAGUUACAUCAAACCAGCCUGGUCUAUAUAGUAAACUAGUGUGGUCUACACAGUGAAGUCCAAGCCAUCUGGGGACUGCAUAGUCAGACCAUGCAUUUAAAAACAACAACAACGACGACAAUAACAACAACAAAACAAGCACCAGUAGUGUUUCAUUUGUCUGAAAGAUAAAUUAAGAGAAAAAUCUUAUUGUAAUAGUUUCCCACCCCUCCAAACCAUUAGGAGUAAAUUUGGUCAGGUAGGUAAGGCUGCCUGAACUUCUAAAACAUGAAUCUAAAAUAUUUAAAGAGAUACACAGAAAAAAAAAGAGAAUAUUUUGUCCAUGCAUUUGAAGCACUAAUGUUAAAAUGGUCUUGAGAGGCCAAACCUACUCAUUCUUGGGACUGGGCUUUAUCUUAGGGAGGGAAAAAGAAAGAAAAGAAAAGAAAAGAAAGGAAAAGAAAAGAAAAGAAAAGAAAAGAAAAGAAAAGAAGAGAAAAGAAAAGAAAAGCCUGAGAACUUGAUCCUCAGCUGAAGCCAACCAAGCUGCACCCAAGUAUCAGGAAGAAUUCCAGGACUUGUCCUUUGCCCAUACCCCAGAGUUACUCCCUAGCUACUUCCUAGCAACAGUUAAUCAAAGAUUAGUCUGAUUGUUCCAGAUGUACUUUCUGACCAUUUGUGAUUGCUCAUGGUCUUGCUUCAGAGCACCCACCUGUCAGCUUACAAUAGUCAUUCCCUUAGAUGCUUGCCAGGCUGGACACCUUUCACUUGUUCCCAUUUCCUA
This 1337-nucleotide long non-coding RNA is filed under the name Mus musculus (house mouse). RNAcentral's name for it is "long non-coding RNA chr16:36099020-36100357". Lineage: Eukaryota; Metazoa; Chordata; Mammalia; Rodentia; Muridae. The record is from RNAcentral.